RNAcentral lists this ribosomal RNA (252 nucleotides) under uncultured bacterium. RNAcentral's name for it is "partial 16S ribosomal RNA". It matches the Rfam family "Bacterial small subunit ribosomal RNA", at positions 524 to 776 of the family's 1533-position model. The record is from RNAcentral.
UACGAAGGGGGCUAGCGUUGUUCGGAAUUACUGGGCGUAAAGGGCGCGUAGGCGGCGUGUCAAGUCAGGCGUGAAAGCCCCGGGCUCAACCUGGGAACCGCGCUUGAGACUGGCAUGCUCGAGUUCGGGAGAGGAUGGGGAAUUCCCAGUGUAGAGGUGAAAUUCGUAGAUAUUGGGAAGAACACCGAUGGCGAAGGCAGCCAUCUGGACCGACACUGACGCUGAGGCGCGAAAGCGUGGGGAGCAAACAGG